Long non-coding RNA from Oreochromis aureus, 738 nucleotides. The record is from Ensembl. NCBI's taxonomy places the organism in Eukaryota, Metazoa, Chordata, Actinopteri, Cichliformes, Cichlidae.
GUGUUAGUCUAACUUGGUUGUAUGGGGUCUACAUUGACCUUCUGUGUUGUAAGUUACAAUGAUUGCACAGCCAUUAAGGAUCAAAUCAGCUUCUAAAAAUGUUCUUUUUUUCUCCUCUGCUUGCUUCUUACUGUCUUUGAGGCUCGGGACCAGCACUCCUGCUGUUGGACAGAAAGACAUCAACUCAGUGACUUGAGAUAUGACUGCACUAUGCUGUUGCUGUUGACUCCAGUUAAUUCUACAAGACAUGCUGUGACACCAGGAGAGAUGAGUCCUCCGUCACAGAUGGUGUGGUCAGUGAAGAUGGUCGCCUGCAGGUUCAAGCUCAUUGCAUCUCCAACCCACAUCCACUGCCACUGUACUUAAGGGAAGUUAAAGACUUUCUUCUGCAUUUACAUUUGGAUCACCUCGAUCCAUGACAGUCAUUCAGGCAGUAAUGCCUGGACUGGAAACAAGCCAUCCUUAAAAUAUUACAACAUUCCAGCUCAUGUGUUUGAAUGCAAAACAAAUGUGUUGUUUAAAUUAGAGACUGCACUUGUGACAGAACAAUAAAUAUAUUUUAUUUUGAUUAUAUAAGUAAUGUAAGUACAAAACAAACUGUGAUAGACCUAAACUUAUUUUCAGAAUAAUUAAAUCUGAGACUUUGUUUCAUUGUAAGAUUAUAAUUGUUUGUUGUUCAGCAGAACAGUGUCCAGUAUGUUGGCUGUUAUACUUUGUUGUGUUUGAAAAUAAAAGUUG